GGGGAAUAUUGGACAAUGGGCGAACGCCUGAUCCAGCCAUGCCGCGUGUGUGAAGAAGGUCUUCGGAUUGUAAAGCACUUUAAGUUGGGAGGAAGGGCUGCAAGUUAAUACCUUGUAGUUUUGACGUUACCAACAGAAUAAGCACCGGCUAACUUCGUGCCAGCAGCCGCGGUAAUACGGAGGAUGCAAGCGUUAUCCGGAUUCAUUGGGUUUAAAGGGUGCGCAGGCGGAUUGAUAAGUCAGGGGUGAAAUCCCACAGCUCAACUGUGGAACUGCCUUUGAUACUGUUAGUCUUGAGUAUAGUUGAAGUGGGCGGAAUGUGUCAUGUAGCGGUGAAAUGCUUAGAUAUGACACAGAACACCGAUCGCGAAGGCAGCUCGCUAAGCUAUAACUGACGCUCAUGCACGAAAGCGUGGGGAUCAAACA
RNAcentral lists this ribosomal RNA (426 nucleotides) under uncultured bacterium. Its description in RNAcentral is "bacterial SSU rRNA". It matches the Rfam family "Bacterial small subunit ribosomal RNA", at positions 356 to 774 of the family's 1533-position model. The record is from RNAcentral.